RNAcentral lists this ribosomal RNA (626 nucleotides) under uncultured Friedmanniella sp. RNAcentral's name for it is "bacterial SSU rRNA". It matches the Rfam family "Bacterial small subunit ribosomal RNA", at positions 338 to 974 of the family's 1533-position model. The record is from RNAcentral. Lineage: Bacteria; Bacillati; Actinomycetota; Actinomycetes; Propionibacteriales; Nocardioidaceae.
CCUACGGGAGGCAGCAGUGGGGAAUAUUGCGCAAUGGGCGGAAGCCUGACGCAGGGACGCCGCGUGGGGGAUGACGGCCUUCGGGUUGUAAACCUCUUUCAGUAGGGACGAAGGGUGACUGACGGUACCUACAGAAGAAGGACCGGCUAACUACGUGCCAGCAGCCGCGGUGAUACGUAGGGUCCGAGCGUUGUCCGGAAUUAUUGGGCGUAAAGGGCUUGUAGGCGGUCCGUCGCGUCAGAAGUGAAAACUCAGGGCUUAACCCUGAGCCUGCUUUUGAUACGGGCGGACUAGAGGGAUGCAGGGGAGAACGGAAUUCCUGGUGGAGCGGUGGAAUGCGCAGAUAUCAGGAGGAACACCGGUGGCGAAGGCGGUUCUCUGGGCAUUACCUGACGCUGAGAAGCGAAAGCGUGGGGAGCAAACAGGCUUAGAUACCCUGGUAGUCCACGCCGUAAACGGUGGGCACUAGGUGUGGGGGACAUUCCACGUUCUCCGUGCCGAAGCUAACGCAUUAAGUGCCCCGCCUGGGGAGUACGGCCGCAAGGCUAAAACUCAAAGGAAUUGACGGGGGCCCGCACAAGCGGCGGAGCAUGCGGAUUAAUUCGAUGCAACGCGAAGAACCUUAC